CGCUGGCGGCGCGCCUAACACAUGCAAGUCGAACGAGCGAGAGAGAGCUUGCUUUCUCGAGCGAGUGGCGAACGGGUGAGUAACGCGUGAGGAACCUGCCUCAAAGAGGGGGACAACAGUUGGAAACGACUGCUAAUACCGCAUAAGCCCACGACCCGGCAUCGGGUUGAGGGAAAAGGAGCAAUCCGCUUUGAGAUGGCCUCGCGUCCGAUUAGCUAGUUGGUGAGGUAAUGGCCCACCAAGGCAACGAUCGGUAGCCGGACUGAGAGGUUGAACGGCCACAUUGGGACUGAGACACGGCCCAGACUCCUACGGGAGGCAGCAGUGGGGAAUAUUGCACAAUGGGGGAAACCCUGAUGCAGCGACGCCGCGUGGAGGAAGAAGGUCUUCGGAUUGUAAACUCCUGUUGUUGAGGAAGAUAAUGACGGUACUCAACAAGGAAGUGACGGCUAACUACGUGCCAGCAGCCGCGGUAAAACGUAGGUCACAAGCGUUGUCCGGAAUUACUGGGUGUAAAGGGAGCGCAGGCGGGCAGACAAGUUGGAAGUGAAAUCCAUGGGCUCAACCCAUGAACUGCUUUCAAAACUGUAUGUCUUGAGUAGUGCAGAGGUAGGCGGAAUUCCCGGUGUAGCGGUGGAAUGCGUAGAUAUCGGGAGGAACACCAGUGGCGAAGGCAGCCUACUGGGCACCAACUGACGCUGAGGCUCGAAAGUGUGGGUAGCAAACAGGAUUAGAUACCCUGGUAGUCCACACCGUAAACGAUGAUUACUAGGUGUUGGAGGAUUGACCCCUUCAGUGC
This 799-nucleotide ribosomal RNA is filed under the name uncultured bacterium. RNAcentral describes it as "bacterial SSU rRNA". It matches the Rfam family "Bacterial small subunit ribosomal RNA", at positions 34 to 846 of the family's 1533-position model. The record is from RNAcentral.